RNAcentral lists this long non-coding RNA (361 nucleotides) under Mus caroli (Ryukyu mouse). Its description in RNAcentral is "lncRNA (MGP_CAROLIEiJ_G0003138.1)". The record is from RNAcentral. Lineage: Eukaryota; Metazoa; Chordata; Mammalia; Rodentia; Muridae.
UGUUGUACGCAGCAGGCGGCUUAUAAGUGUUGUAUGCAGCAGGCGGCUUAUAUUGCAGCAGCUUCUGGCUGAGUCUCCAGCUCCCAACUCCCUGCAGAGGCCCGGGGAUCAUGCACAACUGCUUCUGGUUUUCUAUGUUCUCUCAGCGAAUCUGAAGUAUUGGCUACAGACCCAGGCUUGCCUGCCACCUCAAGGUGCAGAGUGGUGAGUGCCUCUACAAAGAAUAAAGAUGUGAUGGAGAGUUAUAAGCUGGCCCUGAGAAAUGUCCAGUGUGUAGCUUCCACUUGUGCAGCCGGAGCUGUCACCCUGGUUGAUCCGUCUUGGAGUGUGCAUUCAAUAAACCAUCCCUGUUUAACUGAGA